Molecule: ribosomal RNA, 750 nt
Filed under: uncultured bacterium
Lineage: Bacteria
Description: bacterial SSU rRNA
Rfam family: Bacterial small subunit ribosomal RNA
Source: RNAcentral
AGAGUUUGAUCCUGGCUCAGAUUGAACGCUGGCGGCAGGCUUAACACAUGCAAGUCGAGCGGGGAAAGGUAGCUUGCUACCUGACCUAGCGGCGGACGGGUGAGUAAUGCUUAGGAAUCUGCCUAUUAGUGGGGGACAACAUUCCGAAAGGAAUGCUAAUACCGCAUACGCCCUACGGGGGAAAGCAGGGGAUCUUCGGACCUUGCGCUAAUAGAUGAGCCUAAGUCAGAUUAGCUAGUUGGUGGGGUAAAGGCCUACCAAGGCGACGAUCUGUAGCGGGUCUGAGAGGAUGAUCCGCCACACUGGGACUGAGACACGGCCCAGACUCCUACGGGAGGCAGCAGUGGGGAAUAUUGGACAAUGGGCGAAAGCCUGAUCCAGCCAUGCCGCGUGUGUGAAGAAGGCCUUUUGGUUGUAAAGCACUUUAAGCGAGGAGGAGGCUACUUAGAUUAAUACUCUAGGAUAGUGGACGUUACUCGCAGAAUAAGCACCGGCUAACUCUGUGCCAGCAGCCGCGGUAAUACAGAGGGUGCGAGCGUUAAUCGGAUUUACUGGGCGUAAAGCGUGCGUAGGCGGCUUUUUAAGUCGGAUGUGAAAUCCCUGAGCUUAACUUAGGAAUUGCAUUCGAUACUGGGAAGCUAGAGUAUGGGAGAGGAUGGUAGAAUUCCAGGUGUAGCGGUGAAAUGCGUAGAGAUCUGGAGGAAUACCGAUGGCGAAGGCAGCCAUCUGGCCUAAUACUGACGCUGAGGU